UGCGUAGGCGGCUUGGUGGGUCUGGUGUGAAAGCCCCGGGCUCAGCCCGGGAAGGGCACUAGAAACUGCCAAGCUGGAGUGCCGGAGGGGAGAGUGGAAUUCCUGGUGUAGCGGUGAAAUGCGUAGAUAUCAGGAGGAAUACCGGUGGCGAAAGCGACUCUCUGGACGGCAACUGACGCUGAGGCACGAAAGCGUGGGGAGCAAACA
This 207-nucleotide ribosomal RNA is filed under the name uncultured bacterium. RNAcentral's name for it is "partial 16S ribosomal RNA". It matches the Rfam family "Bacterial small subunit ribosomal RNA", at positions 568 to 774 of the family's 1533-position model. The record is from RNAcentral.